GACGAACGCUGGCGGCGUGCUUAACACAUGCAAGUCGAACGGAAAGGCCCCUUUGGGGGUCCUCGAGUGGCGAACGGGUGAGUAACACGUGAGUAACCUGCCCUUGACUUCGGGAUAACUUCAGGAAACUGGGGCUAAUACCGGAUAGGAAUCCUUGCUGCAUGGUGGGGGUUGGAAAGCUUCGGCGGUUUUGGAUGGACUCGCGGCUUAUCAGCUUGUUGGUGGGGUAGUGGCUUACCAAGGCUUUGACGGGUAGCCGGCCUGAGAGGGCGACCGGCCACAUUGGGACUGAGAUACGGCCCAGACUCCUACGGGAGGCAGCAGUGGGGAAUGUUGCACAAUGGGCGGAAGCCUGAUGCAGCAACGCCGCGUGCGGGAUGACGGCCUUCGGGUUGUAAACCGCUUUCAGCAGGGGCGAAGCUUGUGGUGACGGUACCUGCAGAAGAAGCACCGGCUAACUACGUG
This 465-nucleotide ribosomal RNA is filed under the name uncultured bacterium. RNAcentral describes it as "partial 16S ribosomal RNA". It matches the Rfam family "Bacterial small subunit ribosomal RNA", at positions 28 to 507 of the family's 1533-position model. The record is from RNAcentral.